GGGGAAGGAGUUAGUUCUACAUUAAGCUGUGGGGCUGCUUCUCCCCAUUGCUCCCUAACAAUUCAUUGUGUGGACUUCUCUCAUCUAAAAGGUUGGUGGCUUUUGCUUGGGAUCAGUGCUCUCUAUUUAUGUCCUUGCUGGUCUCUGAACACAUUCCUGUUGCGUUAAGACUUGAAAGAUUUGUAGAUGUGUGAUGUUCAGGCACAGGAUGCUAAGAGCUUAUGUUACUAUUCUUAGUUUGUAAAUUGUCCUUUUGAUACCAUCUUGUUUCUUUUGUAGGUAUAAAUAAAAACACUGUUGACAAUAAAAAAAAA
Molecule: long non-coding RNA, 314 nt
Filed under: Androctonus crassicauda
Lineage: Eukaryota; Metazoa; Arthropoda; Arachnida; Scorpiones; Buthidae
Source: RNAcentral